AGGACGAACGCUGGCGGCGUGCUUAAUACAUGCAAGUCAACUUGACUUUAGAUAGCAAUAUCGAAAGUAGGGUGGCGCACGGGUGCGUAACGCGUAGGUAAUCUGCCCUGAGGUCUGACAUAACCCGUCGAAAGGCGGGCUAACAUCAGAUGAUAUAUAAUCACGACAUCGUGGAAAUAUCAAAUCUUCGGAGCCUUGGGAUGAGCCUGCGUCUGAUUAGGUAGUUGGCGGAGUAAUAGCCCACCAAGCCUACGAUCAGUAGCUGGUCUGAGAGGAUGAUCAGCCACACUGGAACUGAGACACGGUCCAGACUCCUACGGGAGGCAGCAGUAAGGAAUAUUGCUCAAUGGGGGAAACCCUGAAGCAGCAACGCCGCGUGAAGGAUGAAAUACUUUGUAUGUAAACUUCUGUAAGAUGGGAAAAAUAUUCUCCUCGGGAGAAUUGAUUGUACCAUCAGAGUAAGCCCCGGCUAACUAGGUG
This 480-nucleotide ribosomal RNA is filed under the name uncultured bacterium. Its description in RNAcentral is "bacterial SSU rRNA". It matches the Rfam family "Bacterial small subunit ribosomal RNA", at positions 26 to 507 of the family's 1533-position model. The record is from RNAcentral.